This 589-nucleotide ribosomal RNA is filed under the name uncultured archaeon. RNAcentral describes it as "bacterial SSU rRNA". It matches the Rfam family "Archaeal small subunit ribosomal RNA", at positions 221 to 810 of the family's 1478-position model. The record is from RNAcentral.
CCUAUCAGGUAGUAGUGGGUGUAAUGUACCUACUAGCCUACGACGGGUACGGGUUGUGAGAGCAAGAGCCCGGAGAUGGAUUCUGAGACAUGAAUCCAGGCCCUACGGGGCGCAGCAGGCGCGAAAACUUUACAAUGCGGGAAACCGUGAUAAGGGGACACCGAGUGCCAGCAUCAUAUGUUGGCUGUCCAGAUGUGUAAAAUACAUCUGUUAGCAAGGGCCGGGCAAGACCGGUGCCAGCCGCCGCGGUAACACCGGCGGCCCGAGUGGUGAUCGUGAUUAUUGGGUCUAAAGGGUCCGUAGCCGGUUUGGUCAGUCCUCCGGGAAAUCUGACGGCUCAACCGUUAGGCUUUCGGUGGAUACUGCCAGACUUGGAACCGGGAGAGGUAAGAGGUACUACAGGGGUAGGAGUGAAAUCUUGUAAUCCCUGUGAGACCACCUGUGGCGAAGGCGUCUUACCAGAACGGGUUCGACGGUGAGGGACGAAAGUUGGGGGCACGAACCGGAUUAGAUACCCGGGUAGUCCCAGCCGUAAACGAUGCUCGCUAGGUGUCACGCAUGGCGCGACCGUGUCUGGUGCCGCAGGGAA